CCUACGGGGGGCUGCAGUGAGGAAUAUUGGUCAAUGGACGAGAGUCUGAACCAGCCAAGUAGCGUGAAGGAUGACUGCCCUAUGGGUUGUAAACUUCUUUUAUAUGGGAAUAAAACGUUCCACGUGUGGGAUUUUGUAUGUACCAUAUGAAUAAGGAUAGGCUAACUCCGUGCCAGCAGCCGCGGUAAUACGGAGGAUCCGAGCGUUAUCCGGAUUUAUUGGGUUUAAAGGGAGCGUAGGUGGUUUGUUAAGUCAGUUGUGAAAGUUUGCGGCUCAACCGUAAAAUUGCAGUUGAAACUGGCAGUCUUGAGUACAGUAGAGGUGGGCGGAAUUCGUGGUGUAGCGGUGAAAUGCUUAGAUAUCACGAAGAACUCCGAUUGCGAAGGCAGUUCACUGGACUGCAACUGACACUGAGGCUCGAAAGUGUGGGUAUCAAACAGGAUUAGAUACCCUUGUAGUC
This 460-nucleotide ribosomal RNA is filed under the name uncultured bacterium. Its description in RNAcentral is "partial 16S ribosomal RNA". It matches the Rfam family "Bacterial small subunit ribosomal RNA", at positions 338 to 795 of the family's 1533-position model. The record is from RNAcentral.